GGCUAUUAAGUACAGUAGUAUUUACACCUAACUGAUCACAACCAGUUACAGAUUUCUUUGUUCCUUCUCUGCUUCCACUGCUUCACUUGACUAACCAAAA
Molecule: unclassified non-coding RNA, 100 nt
Organism: Colobus angolensis palliatus
Lineage: Eukaryota; Metazoa; Chordata; Mammalia; Primates; Cercopithecidae
Rfam family: Y RNA
About the family: Y RNAs are components of the Ro ribonucleoprotein particle (Ro RNP), in association with Ro60 and La proteins. The Y RNAs and Ro60 and La proteins are well conserved, but the function of the Ro RNP is not known.
Source: Ensembl